This is a long non-coding RNA of Humulus lupulus (European hop), 176 nucleotides long. RefSeq lists it as uncharacterized. The record is from RefSeq and is a predicted model, not a curated record. The transcript is spliced from 2 exons. Lineage: Eukaryota; Viridiplantae; Streptophyta; Magnoliopsida; Rosales; Cannabaceae.
GGUUGCUGCUUCACAAACAAGGAAGUCGAUGCUCAUAUACCCAAUUACCCCAACUUGCCACCACAGUUAAUUUGUCAGCUUCACAAUGUGACUAUGCAUGACUGGAUUAAAUUACUAAAAGAAAUGGUGUUGCAAUUUCAAAGUGUGGCCAACCUUAAAGGUUCUACCAUUAUAGG